This 253-nucleotide ribosomal RNA is filed under the name uncultured bacterium. RNAcentral describes it as "partial 16S ribosomal RNA". It matches the Rfam family "Bacterial small subunit ribosomal RNA", at positions 524 to 776 of the family's 1533-position model. The record is from RNAcentral.
UACAGAGGGGGCAAGCGUUGUUCGGAAUUACUGGGCGUAAAGGGCGCGUAGGCGGCCUCUUAAGUCGAACGUGAAAUCCCCGGGCUCAACCCGGGAACUGCGUCCGAUACUGGGAGGCUUGAAUCCGGGAGAGGGAUGUGGAAUUCCAGGUGUAGCGGUGAAAUGCGUAGAUAUCUGGAGGAACACCGGUGGCGAAGGCGGCAUCCUGGACCGGUAUUGACGCUGAGGCGCGAAAGCCAAGGGAGCAAACGGG